ACCGGAGCGGGCGCUGCAGGGGCACGCGCAGCCCGGGGGCCGGGGGCCGGAGAAGGAGGGGAAGUGUUUGGGGCUUCCCUGGUGGCGCAGUGGUUAAGAAUCCGCCUGCCAAUGCAGGAGACAUGGGUUCAAGCCCUGGUCCAGGAAGAUCCCACGUGCCGCGGAGCAACUAAGCCCGUGCACCACAACUACCGAGCCUGUGCUCUAGAGCCCGUGAGCCACAACUACUGAAGCCCACGUGCCACAACUACUGAAGCCUGCACAUCUAGAGCCCGAGCUCUGCAACAAGAGAAGCCACCACAAUGAGAAGCCCGCGCACCGCAACAAGAGUAGCCCCCGCUCGACACAACUAAAGAAAGCCUGUGUGCAGCAACGAAGACCUAAUGCAGCCAAAAAUAAAUUAAAAAAAAAAAACUUUUGUAAUUUAAAAAUAUUUUUAAUUAAAAAAAUCUCCCCGUGC
Balaenoptera ricei (Rice's whale) is the source of this 460-nucleotide long non-coding RNA. RefSeq lists it as uncharacterized. The record is from RefSeq and is a predicted model, not a curated record. The transcript has 2 exons. Lineage: Eukaryota; Metazoa; Chordata; Mammalia; Artiodactyla; Balaenopteridae.